AACUUCCCACAUAACUCAUCCAUUUGACCAGUUUCCUAUCCAAUACUGCUGUAAUACCAUCACCAGAGCAGAUAAAGGAACAAUCCCAUGUGGACGGACCAAACACCCAGGGUUUAUCCUGACCCAUCUGCAUACACACAUUAAAUCACAAGAGAAGACAUUCAAAUGCUUUAAUUCAGAUUUGAACUUACAACCAUAAUCUUAUAGAGAACUGGGGAACAAAAAAAAAAAGUGGGUCAUAUAAUACGGUCUGGGGGGGGGAAACCUGAACUUCAAAAAAAAAAGAACCAUGCUGAAGGUCCUCAAAUCUAGGCAUUACCUGUGAAAAAAACUGAUUUACCAAACAGCUAAGUAGGCAGAAAAGGUUUCCCAGCUUCUAAUGGCUGAGGCCCUAAUACAGACAAAAUUUCACCAUGUUGGACAUAGUUAAAUAUUCAGUAGGUGCCCAUGCAGGUCCUCUUCUUUCCUGGGGAAAAAAAUAAACAAACAUCAGGUUCCUGGAGGUUGCAUACCGAAAACCUUACCAUCUUAAAUUCUUGUUUCCUGCAUGGUUUGUCUCCUCAGUCAUUGUCCACAGGACUCUGAGAAGUCGUAGGAAUAUGCAGGCGCAGACUUGGAAGCCCAGCUUCAUCUCCAACGUUGUGGAAAGGGACUGUACCAUCACCGGGCAAUGCCCUAAGCUCCCACGCGCCACUAGGACAGAGCCCGGGGAGAGUGACCUCCCGGGAUAUCCACGUUGGAACGUCUGGUUAGCACCCAAGCGUUUCGUCAACCUCAACACCCAACUACACCCCAGUAUCUCAUCACUAAGACAGAUUGAACAGAAAGCACAGGACAAGCACUAAGCCAGCUUCACAGUGGAACAUACCUCCAUAAACAAGGUGUCUGGAAUCACGGAUCGGUUCUGCAAUAGAAGGCAUUUAUCAUCAUCGUCCACGGGACUCUGAGAAGUCGUAGGAAUAUGCAGGCGCAGACUCGGAAGCCCAGCUUCAUCUCCGACGUUGUGGAAAGGGACUGUACAUCACCGGGCGAUGCCCUAAGCUCCCAUGCGCCACUAGGACAGAGCCCGGGGAGAGUGACCUCCCGGGAUAUCCACGUCGGAUAGUCAUGGUAAAGUCUCUCUUUUGACAAAAUGUCCCAGGGUCCUUUGCUAGACCUCCAGCUCGGAAAACCCGCCUGCUUCCAGCGUGCUAGGGCUACAAAUCUCAGCCACCUUCAGACCUCCACGAAGCAAACAGAACCCAAGUAGCCGGACAUCUACAUGAAAAACUGCCCUGUGAAUAAUGGCAGAUCAACGAACAAAAAGCGGCAGAAAUUCUCUUACAAGGUGAAGAGAAAGGAUAGCUGGGAAGCGAGGAGAACUGAUGAAGUUAAAAAUCGAGCGCUGGGAGGCGGCUUACACUCCAGAUCACAAGGCAGGAACCAAAGACCCUGUCCUCUUAAGGAAAAUGAGCAUUAAAGUUAAGUAGACC
Molecule: long non-coding RNA, 1472 nt
Filed under: Mus pahari (shrew mouse)
Lineage: Eukaryota; Metazoa; Chordata; Mammalia; Rodentia; Muridae
Description: lncRNA (MGP_PahariEiJ_G0006258.1)
Source: RNAcentral